UCCACACAGUGCCCAGCCCAAAGUUGGUGCUUGAGGUUCACUGACUCAGCACUGGUCAUGUUGGCUUCAGCAAGGAUGCUGGUUUGUGCAGCAAUCUUCUCAUUUGAUUUUCCACAGGUAUCAUUAGUGAUACUUCUCCAGGCUCUUGAGAUGCUGAUGAUUUUUGUGCAAGUUUGAUGCUUCGAGUCAUGUAAUAUUUUGACUACUAUUCCCACUACUCUUCUGCUAGCAAGAGCAUCACUACUAAGAGGUUCUUUCAACUCCCACUGAAAUUAGUAGAAG
Molecule: long non-coding RNA, 282 nt
Organism: Gavialis gangeticus (Gharial)
Lineage: Eukaryota; Metazoa; Chordata; Crocodylia; Gavialidae
Exons: 3
Source: RefSeq, a predicted model, not a curated record